RNAcentral lists this ribosomal RNA (577 nucleotides) under Aspergillus sp. RNAcentral describes it as "eukaryotic LSU rRNA". It matches the Rfam family "Eukaryotic large subunit ribosomal RNA", at positions 23 to 603 of the family's 3401-position model. Lineage: Eukaryota; Fungi; Ascomycota; Eurotiomycetes; Eurotiales; Aspergillaceae. The record is from RNAcentral.
ACCCGCUGAACUUAAGCAUAUCAAUAAGCGGAGGAAAAGAAACCAACAGGGAUUGCCUCAGUAACGGCGAGUGAAGCGGCAAGAGCUCAAAUUUGAAAGCUGGCCCCUUCGGGGUCCGCGUUGUAAUUUGCAGAGGAUGCUUCGGGUGCAGCCCCCGUCUAAGUGCCCUGGAACGGGCCGUCAUAGAGGGUGAGAAUCCCGUCUGGGACGGGGUGUCUGCGUCCGUGUGAAGCUCCUUCGACGAGUCGAGUUGUUUGGGAAUGCAGCUCUAAAUGGGUGGUAAAUUUCAUCUAAAGCUAAAUACUGGCCGGAGACCGAUAGCGCACAAGUAGAGUGAUCGAAAGAUGAAAAGCACUUUGAAAAGAGAGUUAAACAGCACGUGAAAUUGUUGAAAGGGAAGCGUUUGCGACCAGACUCGCCCGCGGGGUUCAGCCGGCAUUCGUGCCGGUGUACUUCCCCGUGGGCGGGCCAGCGUCGGUUUGGGCGGCCGGUCAAAGGCCCUCGGAAUGUAUCACCUCUCGGGGUGUCUUAUAGCCGAGGGUGCAAUGCGGCCUGCCUGGACCGAGGAACGCGCUUC